This 473-nucleotide ribosomal RNA is filed under the name uncultured bacterium. RNAcentral's name for it is "bacterial SSU rRNA". It matches the Rfam family "Bacterial small subunit ribosomal RNA", at positions 335 to 801 of the family's 1533-position model. The record is from RNAcentral.
ACUCCUACGGGAGGCAGCAGUAGGGAAUCUUCGGCAAUGGGGGCAACCCUGACCGAGCAACGCCGCGUGAGUGAAGAAGGUUUUCGGAUCGUAAAACUCUGUUGUUGAAGAAGAACAUGCGUGAGAGUAACUGUUCACGUACUGACGGUAUUCAACCAGAAAGCCACGGCUAACUACGUGCCAGCAGCCGCGGUAAUACGUAGGUGGCAAGCGUUGUCCGGAUUUAUUGGGCGUAAAGAGAAUGUAGGCGGUUUAUUAAGUUUGAAGUGAAAGCCCUCGGCUCAACCGAGGAAGUGCUUCGAAAACUGGUAAACUUGAGUGCAGAAGAGGAAAGUGGAACUCCAUGUGUAGCGGUGGAAUGCGUAGAUAUAUGGAAGAACACCAGUGGCGAAGGCGGCUUUCUGGUCUGUAACUGACGCUGAGAUUCGAAAGCAUGGGUAGCAAACAGGAUUAGAUACCCUGGUAGGAUAGCG